GUUUCAUUAAGUUUUGAGCAUUUUGAUAUUUUGGAAAUUUUUGGUGUAGUUUCCAUGGCAACAUAGUAGGUCCAAUGUGUGCAAAAAAUCAUCCAACACCUGUAUAUAGUGGGCACCUACAUUGUAUUAAAAUAUGAUGAUUCUGAGUGUAAGCAUAUUCAACAGUUCACCAAAACAAAAAACAGAAAUUUUUCACAUUUGUUUCGUUCCCAUGGCAACGGCAGCCAUCUUGAUGAUGCCAUACCUCACUGCACUAUAGAAUGUGGUGGUCAACAUUAUGGUAUAGUUCCAUCAAUAUUGUUAAAGCCAAUUCUGAGAAAUAGUAUGGACAAAAAAGUGUGGAAGAAUAAAUAUAAAAAUAAUAAGACAAAAAGAAACGAACAAUAACAAUAUGUCACCCCAACUCCGUUGAGGGUGCCAUAACUAGAUUUGCGAUUGCAAGCAAUAGCGGAUGGCACCCUUUCCCCAUUGCCAGGCCAGCGGCAGCCAUUUAGAAAAUUUUUGCUGUUUCCAUGGCAACGGCGGCCAUUUUGAAAAUUCGAAACUCAAAAGUUAAGUCUACAUAAGCUAGGCAAAAUUUGUUAUAAGUUUUAUUAAAUUUAAAGCAUUUUGAAGUUUUUCAUAAUUUUGCUGUUCCCAUGGUAACGGCGGUCAUUUUGAAUAUUCCAAAGUCAAACCCCCGCUGCAAUUUUUUCCCUCCAUAAUCAUAUAUACCAUCAUAUACCAUUUAAUGUCUCUAGAAUAAAUUUAACAUUGAUGUUCUGGAAUGUUCUGUGAAAAUUUAAAGUUUUGACCUUUUUGCAUUGUUUCCAUGGUAACUACAGAUAUUUUGGAAAUUCCAACGCCAAAUUCCACAUCUUCCAAUGUUGCUCAUCGUUACUGUGAAGUUUCAUGAAGUUUGGAGCAUUUUGAUAUUUUUGAAAUUUUUGGUGUAGUUUCCAUGGCAACAUAGUAGUCCAAUGAGUGCCAAAAUCAUCCAACACCUGUAUAUAGUGGGCAC
This 1000-nucleotide long non-coding RNA is filed under the name Mytilus galloprovincialis (Mediterranean mussel). The record is from RNAcentral. Lineage: Eukaryota; Metazoa; Mollusca; Bivalvia; Mytilida; Mytilidae.